GAUGAACGCUGGCGGCGUGCUUAACACAUGCAAGUCGAACGAGAAGUGGAGACGGAAACCUUCGGGCGGAAGACUUUACUUCGAGUGGCGGACGGGUGAGUAACGCGUGGGUAACCUGCCUCAUACAGGGGGAUAACAGUUGGAAACGACUGUUAAUACCGCAUAAGACCACAGCACCGCAUGGUGCGGGGGUAAAAACUCCGGUGGUAUGAGAUGGACCCGCGUUCGAUUAGCCAGUUGGCGGGGUAACGGCCCACCAAAGCGACGAUCGAUAGCCGAUCUGAGAGGAUGACCGGCCACAUUGGGACUGAGACACGGCCCAAACUCCUACGGGAAGCAGCAGUGGGGAAUAUUGCACAAUGGGGGAAACCCUGAUGCAGCGACGCCGCGUGAGUGAAGAAGUAUUUCGGUAUGUAAAGCUCUAUCAGCAGGGAAGAAAAUGACAGUACCUGAGGAAGAAGCCCCGGCUAACUACGUG
This 478-nucleotide ribosomal RNA is filed under the name uncultured bacterium. Its description in RNAcentral is "partial 16S ribosomal RNA". It matches the Rfam family "Bacterial small subunit ribosomal RNA", at positions 28 to 507 of the family's 1533-position model. The record is from RNAcentral.